Molecule: ribosomal RNA, 459 nt
Filed under: uncultured beta proteobacterium
Lineage: Bacteria; Pseudomonadati; Pseudomonadota; Betaproteobacteria
Description: bacterial SSU rRNA
Rfam family: Bacterial small subunit ribosomal RNA
Source: RNAcentral
GAAAGCAGGGGAUCGCAAGACCUUGCGCUUUUGGAGCGGCCGAUGUCUGAUUAGCUAGUUGGUGAGGUAAAGGCUUACCAAGGCUUCGAUCAGUAGCUGGUCUGAGAGGACGACCAGCCACACUGGGACUGAGACACGGCCCAGACUCCUACGGGAGGCAGCAGUGGGGAAUUUUGGACAAUGGGGGCAACCCUGAUCCAGCCAUGCCGCGUGAGUGAAGAAGGCCUUCGGGUUGUAAAGCUCUUUCAGCCGGAACGAAAAGGUUACGGUUAAUACCCGUGACUAAUGACGGUACCGGAAGAAGAAGCACCGGCUAACUACGUGCCAGCAGCCGCGGUAAUACGUAGGGUGCGAGCGUUAAUCGGAAUUACUGGGCGUAAAGCGUGCGCAGGCGGUUUUGUAAGUCAGAUGUGAAAUCCCCGGGCUUAACCUGGGAACUGCGUUUGAAACUACAAAGCU